UUCCUGUAGGAGUUCGCUCAGGUCAUAAUUUAUGUCAUCUCCCCAUUACUCCUGGGAGCACUGUCAUUCCGAAGUUUUGAAGGCUGGACUCGCCGCCCCGGACGAAAAACCGACCCGGGCGGGGCGGGUGGUGCUGCGGGAGGGAGUCACUGACGACAAUUCCAGGCGGAGGUGAUGCUGGAGGGCGGGGGAGGAGAGCUGCUUGCUAGCCUCGCGGGCUGGCGCCGGGAAGGGCCCGGCGCGACCAACGGUGAAGCCCGGACGCGGGCGCCGCGGGGAGGUCACACUCCCCACCCCCGCGGGCCUCAACCCCAUGGCCCCAAGGCCUGAGACCUCUCCGGACCGGUAACCUCCCCACCGCGCGGACAGGCAGCUUCCCGCGGUGGAAACUCUCGUGGGAGAGUGGCUCCACAGCCUGGCUCCCGCUGUCGGGCGCCUUAUUCCAUCGAUACGAAUUGAGUUACCUCCUCUGCGUAAAUUCUUCCCCGGACUUGUCGUGGUGCCUCCAACCUUGGACUGUAUCCCCUUGUUCACUAAGCUUCAGUGGCGCAAACGUUACCUUUCCUCCAAAAGCCAUAUGGCCCUGAUUGCAGUAUCACUGAGAAGAUAAAAAAACUCAGCUCCAGCAUCCUCUGCCACUCUUCUCAAAGUAUUUCUGUCUGCACCAUCAAUUUUGUGAGCUGUUGUCAAGUACCUGGAGGAACAGGAGCCUCUUUUCCCUUCUAAGUUGCCAACCCUUGGCCUGCUGGCUUCAUCUCACCUCCGUCCAGAUCUUCUUCCCCUGCUUUGCACUAGCCAAAAUGCCCAGACAAAUCCUUCACACUUGUUCCUCCCUUUUCUCCAAGGAUCUCCUUGGUAAGCUCAGUCACCUUUUUCACAGUGUUUUUUUUUUCCCCUUGACCUCACUGCAAUGCAAGAAAAUUAUGACUCACUUCCACUUGUAAAAUUCUCCCUUGACAUUGCCCUAGUAUGGUUCAGUCACCCUUUCUUCCUUGCUGGCUCUUCUUUCUCAUUUAGCACUCUGGGUGGGUGGGCAUUUGCCCCAGGUUCUAUUCUCAACCUUCUUGUUUCUCUUUACCAGCUGUCCUGGGACAACAUAUUACAAUUGCCGUUUUCUCCAUCCUUGAUCUGCCUUCAUAAACUCUAACUUCACAUUCCCUCCAACCAGCAAGACAUCAUCGUCCAGAGGACUCAUUACCUCUAGUCAGCAUGUCAAAAAAUAUUGAUACUUCCCUUCAAAAUCAACUUGUCUCCCUUUUACUCAGUUUUUGUCUGCAUUACCUUGCCUCCCAGCCAUUGAAAUCUUCCCCCUUUCUUCAAGUAACAAGACAAGUCCUCCUUUAUUGGUACCUUCUAGAUCUUGGCUUGCACUCUUCAAUAUGCCACAAAGGUUUUCAAAGCUCAGGUCAUGAUCUCACAGUUUGUGAUUUAGAGCCCUGCAUCAAGAUCUGCACUGACAGCAUGGAGCCUGCUUGGAAUUCUCUGUCUCCCUCUCUCUCUGGCCCUCCCCUGCUCUCUCUGUAUCUCUGUCUCUCUAAAUAAAUAAAUAAAUAAAUAAAUAAAUAAAUAUUUUUUUAAAUACUAAAAAAAAAAAAUAAAAAAUACUAUAGACAAAGGGGAAGUGGGGAAUUACUGUUUAAGUGGUACAGAGUUUCUGUAUGAGAUGAAAGAUUCUAUAAAUGGGUAGUGGUGAUCGUUGCACAACAUUGUGAAUGUACUUAAUGCUCCUGAAUUACACACUUAGAAAUGUUUAAAAAUGGUAAUUUUUAUGUUAUGCAUAUUUUACCAACAAGGAAAAAAAUAGGUAAAUUUAAAAAACACUAUAGAAGUGGCAAUCAAUUUUGCAAUAUAUCAGUGUAUCAAAUCAACACAUUGUACACCUUAAACUUACACAAUGUUACAUGUCAAUUAUAUCUCAAUAAAAUUGGGGAAAAACACUAUAGAUAAAUUAGAAUUUUCAAAAAUGUUCAAGUAACUAACAUGAUGGCAGGAAAAAAGAAACUACAGAAAUGGAAAACAGUACACACAGAAAACAAAUAAAAUGGCACAAUUAAGUUGUAUCAUAUCAAUAAUUACAUUAAAUAUUAAUAGUCUAGUAUACCAAUUAAAGGAUAAAAUUGGAAGAAUGAUUUAAGAACAUGGCCUAACUAUAUGAUGUCUACAAUAAGGUCAUUUCAAGUACAAUGAUAGAGGCAAGUUAAAUGAAAAGGAUUUAAAAAGAUACAUCAUACAAAUGUUAAAGGAAAACAUGAGUGACUAUAUUAUUAUCACAUAUAGAAGACUCAAGAACAAAGAAAAUUAUCAGAGAUAGAAAUGGCCAUAUUGUGAUAAAAGGGUCAGUUCACCAAGAAGACAUGGCAAUUCAAAAUAUGCAUGCACCAGACAACAGAGCCGCAAAUAAAAUGUGAAACAAAAACUGAUAGAACUAAAAUAGGUAAAUUCACAAUAAUAGUUGGAGACUUCAACACCCUUCUCUCAACAGCUGGUAGAACAACUAGACAAAAUCAGCAGGGAUAUAACAGAACUCAACACCAACAACCAGUAGGAUCUGGUCAACAUUUAUAGAAUACUUCACCCGAUAAUAGCUACAUACAUAUUCUUAUCAAGUGCUCAUGGAACACAUACCAUAAUAGAUCAUUUCCUGGGCCAUUAAACAAUUCUCACUCAAAAGAAAUGAAAUUAAAAACAAAAAGAUGAAAUCCUACCGACUAUGUUGUCCAACCACAAUGGAAUCAAACUAGAAAUAAGUAACAGAAAGAUAACAGGAAAAUUUCCAAACACUUGGAACUAAGCACACUUCUAAAUAAUGCAUGGGUCAAAGAAAAAGUCUCACCUCAAAGAACUAGGAAAAGAAGUGCAAAACAAACUCAAAGCAAGCAGAGGAAGGAAAUAAUAGAUAUAAAAGCUGGCAGCAAUAAAAGCGAAAAUAGGAAAACAAUAGAGAAAAUCUAUAAAAGAAAACCUCUAGCAAGAUUGACAAAGAAUAAAAGAGGCAUGACACUAAUUAUAAAUACCAGGAAUGAAACAGGGAAUAUCACUACAGACCCUGUAGACAUUAAAAAGAUAACAAGGAAAUACUACUACAACUGUAUACAUAUAAAUAGUUCCUCAAAAAAACACUCAACUACUGCAACUCACUCUAUAUGAAAUAUAUUAUUUGAGUAGUCCUAAGGCUAUUAAGGAAAUUGAAUUCAUAAUUUUGAAACUCUCAAAAAAGAAAUCUCUAGACUCACAUGGUUUCACUGGAGAAUUCUGCCAAAUCUUUAAAGAGUAAUUAAUGCCAAUUCUAUACAAUCCCUUCCAGUUUAAAAUAUGAAAUGAUGAAUACUUCACAAUUCAUUCUGUGAAGCUAGUAUUACCCUGACACCAAAACCAGAUAAAGAUAGUAAGCCAAAACAAAACUAUAGACCAAUAUCUCAUGAGCUUAGUUGCAAAAAUGCUCACAGAAUAGUAAAUUGAUUCCUGCAAUACAUAAAAGAUUUAUAUAUCAUAAUGUAGAGGGGUUUAUUUUAGGAAUACAAGGUGGGUUGAAUGUUCAAAAAUCAACAAAUGUAAUCAACCAUAUCAACAGGUUAAAGAAGAAAAAUCAUAUGAUCAUAUCAAUUGAUGCAGAAAAGGCAUUUGGUAACAUCCAACAUCCAUUCAUGAUUAAAAGCCUUAGUAAGCUAAGCAUAAGGGGGGAAUUCCUCAUCUUGUUAAAGAAAGACUAUAAAAACCUACAGCUAAUGUCAUAACUACUGGUGAAAGGUUAAAAAGACUGAAUACUUCUCCCUAAGAUGUCCUAGAAUGUCCACUCUCACCACCUAGUGAAGCAACAGGAAGUGCUAGCCAGUUCAGUAAAGCAAGAAAGAGAAAUUGGAAAGGAGGAAAUAAUACUGUCCCUAUUUGCCAAUAACAUUAGUGUCUAUGUAGAAAAUUCCAAGGAAUCUACACACAUACAUACACAGUCCCAAAACUUAAUAACUAAGUUCAGCAAGGUCACAAGGUGCAAGAUUAACACACAAAACCCAAUUAUAUUUCAAUAUACUAACAACAUUAGUUGAGGAAACAAAUUAAAAACAAUGACAUUUAUAAUUGCUUCCAAAGAAAAAUGCUUAGGUGUAAAUCUUAUGAAACGUAUACAGGGUCUAUAUUCUGAAAAUUAUAAAAUACUGAUGAAAGAAAAAUACCUAAAUAAAUGGAUAAAUAUACUGUAUUCAUAAAUUGAAAGAGUAAAGAUGUCAACUCCCAAAUUGAUUACUAUAGAUUUAAUGCAAUUCUGAUUAAAAUCUCAGCAAGGUAUUUUGUAACAUAGGCAAUUUUGCUGUAAAAUUUAUAUGUAAAGGUGUAGGAACUGUAAUAGCUAAAACAACUUUGAAAAAGAAGAAUAAAAUGGGAGGAAUCACUCUAUGCAAUGUUAAAUCUCAGUGUACAGUGACAGCAAUCAAGACUGUAUAGUAUUGGCACAGGGAUAGACACAAAGAUCAAUGGAAUAGAAUAAAGAACCCAGAAAUAGGCUGACACGAAUAUGCCCAAGUGAUUUUUAACAAAGGUGCAAAAGAAAUCAAUAGAGGAAGAAUAGCCUUUCAGCAAAUAGAGUCAUAAAGUAUUUUGAGCAUUCAUAGCUGCCCCCCCCCCCCC
Molecule: long non-coding RNA, 4620 nt
Organism: Panthera uncia (snow leopard)
Lineage: Eukaryota; Metazoa; Chordata; Mammalia; Carnivora; Felidae
Exons: 6
Source: RefSeq, a predicted model, not a curated record